AAUCCGUCGACUUUAAAAAUCGNGAGGGUUCAAGUCCCUCUA
RNAcentral lists this transfer RNA (42 nucleotides) under Benthamiella azorella. Its description in RNAcentral is "partial tRNA-Leu". Lineage: Eukaryota; Viridiplantae; Streptophyta; Magnoliopsida; Solanales; Solanaceae. The record is from RNAcentral.